UCCCCGCACCUAUCGCCACCGCCCCUCGCUAAAAUAAAACCCACACGCCCGACGGCCGACGACGCACGACCCUCCUCCCUCGAGCAGCAGCAACGGAGCGGCGCGUAGGGGCUCAACCUAUGUCGACGGGCGGCGUGGUCCCUCUCCUCCAUCGAGUAGCGGCAGCGGCACGGGACGCAGCGGGCUCGGCCUUCGUCGGUGGCGGCAGGGUCCCUUUCCUCCCUCGACCAUCGGCGGCGGCACCGAAUGCAACAGGCGGCCAGGGAGACGGCGCUGCGUGCAAGGCGCGGCAACGAAGCUGAGGGAGCCGGCCCUUGUGGCACGGGGGCGCGACGGUUCCAUGGCGGCUGUGGGGUGGAGGGCGCGUGCGUGAAGGCGGCGCAUUCCUUUGGCUUUCGGCAUGCCGCGGCAUUGACUUCCCUGCUGUCGUCGUGCUCCCUGAUGCCAGCUCCUCCUUCCUCCCGCCGCUGGACAUGCACAACACCAUCCCAUGCCCUCUGUCCGCUGGCCAGAGAAAGGCAUCAGUGAGAAAUAUGGAUGAUGCACGCGAACGGAUUGGCACUCCCAUCUCCACUGCACUGAAGGAGAUCAAGCCCAUUUCCAUCAGCAUCAACUAGAACCUCCCCUCGACCUGCAUCCUUGCCUUUCUUUUGUAUCUCCCCAAGACUGUCAAACCAGAUGAGCCUGAAAGGAACUAAGAGAAAUGACUAUUCAUUUGGCUUUGGUAUUACUAUUGUUGAUGAACUGCUCAUUUGCCAGACUGUCAAACCAGAUGAGCCUAAAAGGAACUAAGAGAAAUGACUAUUCAUUUACCAAUCUUGCCAUUCUCUGUAUUGUCAAUUUGCCAAUUCGACUGAUGCUUGAAUGUAUUAGUAGACAAAAUGACAUGUUUGUUGAUCAGCUAUGAUAUGUGUUUCCAUUGGCUACUUGCCGCUUUCUAAGGGGCAGAUUUUAGCUUGACAAGAUUUUUGCAAAAACAUAGCAGUGCUCUUGAUCUGAUGGAAACUCAGAGUAGGGUGUUCCAAACUAGAUUGAUACACGUAAGAAUUUUUGACUGAUUUUUAUGCUCAGAGCUACAUACAUGCUCGCAGCGCUUCACCUAUCCUAGAACUUUCAUUUCAAUUUUUGUGUCGCUACAAUUUGUCCAUUAAUCGAUAUUCUAGCUCCAUUAAUCGGUAUUCUAGCUGAAAGUUUCAAAGUUGUCAAUUGUUUUCGAAACUCGGUUCACAGAGUGGCUGGUCCUUUUUUGGGACAUAUUUGUUGUGUCUUUUCCCCAUUUUGUCUUGUAUUUUGUCAUACACAGUUCAAUUAGCUAAUUGUUAUUAUGCCAUAGGUAAAUUGUGCAACCUAUUGCCGCUCUGCCAUGGGUCACAUGGUCGUCCUUCAUACACCGCUUUACUAGGACUAACGCUGAAGUACAGAUGAUGGUGUAUAAAAUUCCAAAAGAAGUUGCCUCUUGUUUGGACACCCCGAAGCACGGGCUGGCAAGACUAAGAUUGGGCAAAGAGAGCUUCAGGAGGACCGUUUAUGACACCUCACUCGACGGUUUAUUCUUCAAGCAAGGAUGGAAGAAGUUCCUCACGAGACAUGACAUGAGAUUAGCACUGCUAUACUAAUUACAUUUAAGACUGUUGCCAACAAUGAGUUGGAGAUUAUAGUCAUCCUUUUAUGUCCUUUGAGAAGAUCAUGUUGGACAAGUUCCAGGCUUUCAUGAGUUAUUUAGUCAUUUCUCAGCGUUUUUUAAACCAUGGAGGAGAACUGCAUGUGAACUUCAUAGAUACGAGAAGAAAAGAA
Molecule: long non-coding RNA, 1794 nt
Organism: Triticum dicoccoides
Lineage: Eukaryota; Viridiplantae; Streptophyta; Magnoliopsida; Poales; Poaceae
Exons: 4
Source: RefSeq, a predicted model, not a curated record